This is a long non-coding RNA of Poecilia latipinna (sailfin molly), 546 nucleotides long. RefSeq lists it as uncharacterized. Lineage: Eukaryota; Metazoa; Chordata; Actinopteri; Cyprinodontiformes; Poeciliidae. The transcript is spliced from 2 exons. The record is from RefSeq and is a predicted model, not a curated record.
UCAGCUGCUGUGUAGAACUGGUCUGACUGGUCGCAGUUACUGGGAGGUCGAGUGGAGAGGAGAUGUUGAGAUAUCAAGUAUCAGUGUAUGUGGACUGUCCUGCUGGCAUUCUGUCCUUCUACAGAGUCUCACCCGACUCACUGCUCCUCCUCCACACCUUCAACACCACAUUCACUGAACCUCUGAUUCCUGGAUUUGGGUUCAGUCCUGAUUCAUCUUCAGUGUUUCUUUGCUGAUUUGAGUCUAAAGAUUUUCCUCCUGUCAGAGAAACUCUCUCACUGUUGAACAGAUAGUUCAUCUCUACAUGUUUUUAUGGAUCCAAACUGUUUCUUGGUGAAUCUUUAACACAUGAUUCCUUAGAAAUAUUUUCUUCUUCCAGUCAUUUAAAGAUGGAAGCUGGAAUUAUUCCAGGAUUAUUCCAGGAUCCAUAUGUUGUUUUUCUGUUUCCAGUCAGAGAUUUUCUUCAAUAUUUCUUGGAUUCAAAUGUUAAAUGAUCUUUUUGUAUAUUUGCUGCAGUUAUUCUUCAUGUAUUUAGUGAACAAUAAA